Molecule: ribosomal RNA, 318 nt
Filed under: uncultured bacterium
Lineage: Bacteria
Description: bacterial SSU rRNA
Rfam family: Bacterial small subunit ribosomal RNA
Source: RNAcentral
GAUGAACGCUAGCGGCAGGCCUAACACAUGCAAGUCGAGGGGCAGCACGUCUUCGGAUGGUGGCGACCGGCGCACGGGUGCGUAACGCGUAUGCAACCUACCUCUUACAGUGGGAUAGCCCAGAGAAAUUUGGAUUAAUACCGCAUAGUAUACAGAUUCAGCAUUGGGACUGUAUUAAACAUUUAUGGGUAAGAGAUGGGCAUGCGUUCCAUUAGUUAGUUGGAGUGGUAACGGCACCCCAAGACAGCGAUAGAUAGGGGCCCUGAGAGGGGGAUCCCCACACUGGUACUGAGACACGGACCAGACUCCUACGGGAGG